Long non-coding RNA from Nematostella vectensis (starlet sea anemone), 1153 nucleotides. RefSeq lists it as uncharacterized. Lineage: Eukaryota; Metazoa; Cnidaria; Anthozoa; Actiniaria; Edwardsiidae. The record is from RefSeq and is a predicted model, not a curated record. The transcript has 2 exons.
AUAAUGAGGACACCACACAUACACGCACGUAUAGUAUGCGCUGAGCGAAAUAAUCAUCACACAACACAACAGGCUUGACUAAGUCACUUCGGCGUCGUUUUUAUCUGUUGUUUUGCCCUUUCUCGAGCUUUUGAAUACGCAAAAGUCGGUAAGCAUUGAGUGAACAGUUAGUUGUUAAGUCUAUUGUGUACAGAGCCACAAACGAAGGCGCCGCCUGUUUUGGUACUAGUUUAUAAGGACCCACACACGAUGGAAUUGGGCCAGGCUGUAUAGUGUAACUCGGAGCCACGGGGGAGUCUUUUAUUGUCCCCUAGAACAAACUAAAGAUAUAAACCCCAGUUAUAAUUUCACUUCACAGGCAAAGAGGUUAUACCGAAGGUUCUUUUGGCAACCGCCGGCGGUACUCUAUCCACAAAGGACAAAUUUAUGCUAAAAUAUUUCAAAGAGGCCGUACAGUUCCGAUGCCUGCAAACAGCUGCCUCAGUUUCAACCAGCAAACAACUACAGCGAAUCUUGAGAAUCAUAUCAACUACACUCUCCCUAACCAUAUUUCCACACCUCAACACCAGACAAACUGGCUCAGAAAGUCUAGGAAAGGAAAAGAUGUUCUUGGAUUACAACAAGAGACCUUAAAGCAGGGAAAGCUCAUUUAUAUAAUAAAGGUUUCGCAUAGCUCAGAAUUGUUGCAACACAGAUAGAAUUAGUUGGGAGAAAUUUGAGCAGAUCCCACCAGCUCCUCUUACGGUUGAUGGCUUUGCUGUGAUAUUACUGUGGUUCCCAGCUAGAUUCAUUUGGAUUACGGAAACCAUAUUUACUAAAUUUAUAGAAAGGUUCUGUGUAACUAAGAAUUAUGGCAGUGCAGGAACAUUUUGUUGAGAGAAAUUUGUACAGUUUUCAUCUAUUUCUCCCCUAUUGGACCUUUCCCUGUGUUUCCCAGCUAGAAUCAAUUGGAUUACGGACACUAUCUUUGCUAAACUUGUUAAGACUAAUGGUGUGGUAGCUGCAAGGCUCUCCAAAAGUACGUGAUUUAGCAACACAAGCGGAUGAACUCAAAUCUGGGAAAUUUCUCACACUGCGUGAACUGUCAAAUGAUUCACAAGAUGGCAUAAUUCCCCCACAGAGUAACAAGCAUACACAAGAAAACAUAUUAACC